GAAAGGCAUAGGCCUAUAGACAGGACAGAUGGGAUUAUUGGUUCCACAUGCCAACCGCUGAAAGUUCCGACUAGCGCACAGCGUCCUUCGUCUGGUCCCUCCAUGAGGAGGGGGCUGGCAAUGGCUUGAUUCUGAGUCCUUACCUUUCCUGAAUGAAGAUCUCUCUGAACAGGAAUAGGACCGGGAGCCUAUCCUAUAGAAAGGCGGCCCGCAACCAAUUGAAUUAGUCGAGAAAUCAAAAAAGAAUUCUUUCCGGUCCAAGGCCUUCUUUCUUUUUCUCUUCUCUCUAGCCUGAAGCGGGCGAUUCGAUUACUCGAGAUAAUAUAAGUGAAUACCGGACAAUUUCCUUGAAAUAGACUCGGCUUUUUUUUAAUAGGUUGCUGUAAAAGGAAGUGAGAGUGAGUGCACUACUAGGAGUGACGCUUUGUUUAGGCUUUCCUUGCUAGGUUACAUAU
Molecule: long non-coding RNA, 455 nt
Filed under: Nicotiana benthamiana
Lineage: Eukaryota; Viridiplantae; Streptophyta; Magnoliopsida; Solanales; Solanaceae
Description: long non-coding RNA (NBEN_LNC025486)
Source: RNAcentral